RNAcentral lists this ribosomal RNA (589 nucleotides) under Triticum aestivum (bread wheat). RNAcentral describes it as "partial small subunit ribosomal RNA". The record is from RNAcentral. Lineage: Eukaryota; Viridiplantae; Streptophyta; Magnoliopsida; Poales; Poaceae.
GUCAUUAGAACUAUAAUAACAUAGUCGUAAAAUCAAACGAAAGCAAUACAUCGUAUCAAAUCUCUCAUCGAUCAGGUCGUUUGAAAGUCGCUUCUACGCGUCUCCUCCGCUCUACGGCCCACGGCACGCUACGCCGCUCGCGCUGCUCCACGGCUGACACGGUACACUACGCCACUACGGUACUCUCAGCCGUUCUGCGCUGUUCCGACCUCGUACUACCCAACCAAGUCCAACUCAGCCUACUGUGCCGUUCCAGCACACUAUGCCGUUCGCGCACCUUCCCAACUUCGUUCUGGCCGACCUACCUAGUCAUGCAACCUCGGUUCUCUUAACCACACAAACACUCCCACAAUCGACGUACGCACCUCAUCAAUAGAUCAUCAGUCGACGUACGUGCAUGAUCAGAAACCUGGGAUCUCUCUAACAUCCUCUUCUAUUCUAGUACCCAAUCACGUACAUCAAUCAACCAAUCACCUCGUUGAUCAGACCUCUGCACCACCGGUCCACACUACCGGCCGCACUCAUGCACCCUGAACCGACUCACGGUUUGAAACAUAUUUAUCAGUAGAGUAAGUCAUUACCUCUUCCG